AUUGAACGCUGGCGGCAGGCCUAACACAUGCAAGUCGAGCGGAUGAAGGGAGCUUGCUCCUGGAUUCAGCGGCGGGCGGGUGAGUAAUGCCUAGGAAUCUGCCUGGUAGUGGGGGAUAACGUCCGGAAACGGGCGCUAAUACCGCAUACGUCCUGAGGGAGAAAGUGGGGGAUCUUCGGACCUCACGCUAUCAGAUGAGCCUAGGUCGGAUUAGCUAGUUGGUGGGGUAAAGGCCUACCAAGGCGACGAUCCGUAACUGGUCUGAGAGGAUGAUCAGUCACACUGGAACUGAGACACGGUCCAGACUCCUACGGGAGGCAGCAGUGGGGAAUAUUGGACAAUGGGCAAAAGCCUGAUCCAGCCAUGCCGCGUGUGUGAAGAAGGUCUUCGGAUUGUAAAGCACUUUAAGUUGGGAGGAAGGGCAGUAAGUUAAUACCUUGCUGUUUUGACGUUACCAACAGAAUAAGCACCGGCUAACUUCGUG
This 484-nucleotide ribosomal RNA is filed under the name uncultured bacterium. Its description in RNAcentral is "partial 16S ribosomal RNA". It matches the Rfam family "Bacterial small subunit ribosomal RNA", at positions 30 to 507 of the family's 1533-position model. The record is from RNAcentral.